UUUGAAAUCAAAGGAAGUUGAAUGGAUACCCUCACAAGGACUCGAUAUAAGAGGACUCCAAAAUAAGUCAAUUAUAAAUAAAUAAAUAAGUUUCUUUCUUUUUACGCAUUUAAAAAAUUAAAAAAAACAAAAAUAGAAUAAAAGUAACAAUGUUUUAAAAUAAUUUGAAUUAAAUAGGGAUACAAAAAUGAUUAAUCUAAAUCAAAUAGUUACGAAAGGAAAAUAA
RNAcentral lists this long non-coding RNA (226 nucleotides) under Lathyrus oleraceus (garden pea). RNAcentral describes it as "Pisum sativum (pea) long non-coding RNA (PSAT_LNC042067)". Lineage: Eukaryota; Viridiplantae; Streptophyta; Magnoliopsida; Fabales; Fabaceae. The record is from RNAcentral.